RNAcentral lists this long non-coding RNA (1868 nucleotides) under Equus asinus (donkey). RNAcentral describes it as "lncRNA (ENSEASG00005023897.1)". The record is from RNAcentral. Lineage: Eukaryota; Metazoa; Chordata; Mammalia; Perissodactyla; Equidae.
GCAGGCCAGCCCCUAGAGAAGGCUUCCUUACCUGAGAUUUUCCCUUCUGACACUCUCACUGUUUGAGUCUUGCUCUGUUUUCAUUCUUUUUUCUUAGAAACUGUUUAUUUUCCAUCAACCUUACUUCCAUUUUCUGUUGAACAGUCUGUGGAAGGACAGACUAAGACCAUUCAGUGGUUGUACCCACCCGUUUGGUGGCCUGAGCAGUGGCAGUUGCAGACCAAUCAGACUCAGUAGGGAACUGCUGAACAGGCUCAGGGGACACCUGCACCUUCCGACCAGCCGGCGACCUCUGGUUGGGUAGCAGUAAAUUCGGGAGUUGGAGCAGUCCAUUCACCCUGAAAUUCCUCUUGGCCACAGCCAUUUCAGCCGCGGCCUGCUCUUCCUUUUCAAUCUCUUCAGGAUCUCUGAGAAGUAGAGACGAGACGCGACUUCCAAGGGAGUUCAUGGGAUGGCGCCACGCAUGCGCAGAAUUUCCCGGACCACCAUCCAUCAUCUCAGUCCCGCUCAGUGAGCUCCCUGUGGUUGCACGGGAUGACACUGUCCACAUGGCAGAGGAGGGUCUGUGUUAUAUAACAAUGGUUGGCAGGUUAACGUAGGACGCCUCUGUGAGAGGCUGGUGGUCGGCCCUGGGAUCAGUAACCAGCGGAGGUUGGGGCUGCAGGAAGGCCCCCUGGAACUGGUGAGUGAAGUGGCCUCCAAAGGAGUGGUCUACCUGCAGCAGCAAACUUCAGCACAGCUCAUUGGCCGGUAUUCCUGAAGGAAAUGACUUGGACAUCAGCCGGGUUUUCAGUGGCAACAAUGGCGCAAGCUGCUUGCAGAAGCUUUUCCCAGGUUCUCUUCAGAUUAAUGUAGAGGCCAUCACUUUUCCUUUUGAGGAUGUACUGUUCCAUUUGGAAGUCAAGGUUGAUGCCACCUAAGUGAAUUCCUGCUGCAAGGAAUUUGAGAAAAUCCUCCUUCCUCAUUUGCAGGACAUCAAGGGCUCUGGACAUUGUGAAAGUUUCCCUUUAAGUUAGUGCGGGAACCCAGAACAGUGCAGACGGACCCCUCUAUGGGUAGCGCAGAAAGACCUUGCUCUGUUUUUCAUAACACCUCUUGGUUUUCACAGGACAUCUCUCCAACUGAUUGAAGACUUAGACUGUACUUAUUCUUGUCUUCUUUGGCCCAGGACCCUCAACCACGCUCUGUGGGGUGGUUGACUCCUCACAGUCCCAGCUGCUUUCCUGUGGAUGCACCCCACUGGCCGAUACGUCUUGUAAAGUGUGGCUUCCACAACUGGACACGAGAUUCCAGAUGACUUAUUAGAAAAGGUUGACAGAGAAGAAAAGGAGGUCUAUGGACAUAUGCAUUGACAAAUGAGGCCCCUCUGCAAAUGAAGCUUCCUGAAACUUGUAUCAGAUUGGAGCCUGCCCAGUGCCAUCUACUGCUGAUGUUCUGACCGCGUAGCCAGCAACAACACAGUUGACUUUAAUGAAAACAGAAUGUGGAGACCGAACACAAGUCUGCAUCCAAAUGCCGCCAGAUAUCUGGAGGGAAAUUGAAAAAUUCAUGCAACCAUGAGAAUGUUUUAAAUUAUCAGAUGUUAGCUUGGAAGCUGCAUGUUGAAGAUGGCAGAGCCAUGGGCAGCCUGGGUUCCUCAGUGACGACCUAGAGUCCAGCACCCAUCCACUCUACCCUCCUCCUGCCUGGACCUGCAUUGGAUGAUUACAUGAUCAAGAAAUAAGCUUCUGCAGUGUUAAUCCACUAAAACUUUGGGAUUGGUGUGUCCCAGAUGUUGGUCUACCUUACAUAAUACAGUACCUAUAAAGAAGGAAUGGGAGUGGGAGCAUGGGGGAUGUAGUUUGGAGCCGGUUUGCCCCAGGAGCUUU